UUUAGUGGUAAAACUAGCCUUCCAAGCUAACG
Molecule: transfer RNA, 32 nt
Filed under: Radula physoloba
Lineage: Eukaryota; Viridiplantae; Streptophyta; Jungermanniopsida; Radulales; Radulaceae
Also listed under: 3 other names
Description: partial tRNA-Gly
Source: RNAcentral